This 169-nucleotide small nucleolar RNA is filed under the name Gouania willdenowi (blunt-snouted clingfish). RNAcentral describes it as "Small Cajal body specific RNA 1 (ENSGWIG00000010451.1)". It matches the Rfam family "Small Cajal body specific RNA 1". Rfam says of the family: scaRNAs are a specific class of small nuclear RNAs which localise to the Cajal bodies and guide the modification of RNA polymerase II transcribed spliceosomal RNAs U1, U2, U4, U5 and U12. ACA35 belong to the H/ACA box class of guide RNAs as it has the predicted hairpin-hinge-hairpin-tail structure, conserved H/ACA-box motifs and is found associated with GAR1. It is predicted to guide pseudouridylation of the U2 spliceosomal snRNA at residue U89. The record is from Rfam by way of RNAcentral. Lineage: Eukaryota; Metazoa; Chordata; Actinopteri; Blenniiformes; Gobiesocidae.
ACGCACCGGAUACAAGCCUGACAGUCCCACAUAUCCUGGGUGUGUUGCACACCCUGGGUUAUGUUCCAUGGCUGCAUGGCUCUGAUUGGUGCGAGAGCAGCAUUCGCCCUGAGAUUUAAGCUUCUCAGUGGGAAGCAGCACUGUUGAGUUAUGGCUCAGAGGCACAGAC